RNAcentral lists this long non-coding RNA (2997 nucleotides) under Sus scrofa (pig). RNAcentral's name for it is "lncRNA (ENSSSCG00040047036.1)". The record is from RNAcentral. Lineage: Eukaryota; Metazoa; Chordata; Mammalia; Artiodactyla; Suidae.
UUUUUUUUUUUUCUUGUUAUGGCUACACCUGCAGCAAAUGGAAGUUCCUGGGCCAGGGGUCAAAUCAGAGCCGCAGCUGCUGUCCUAUGUCAUAGCCAUAGCAACACAGGAUCUGAGCCAUAUCUGCAACCAACACUGAAGCUUGUGACACCACCAGAUCCUUAACCCACUGAGUGAGGCCAAGGAUCAAACCUGCAUCCUCAUGUAGUCUAUGUUGGAUUCUUUUUUCUAGGGCCACACUUGCAGCAUAUGGGGUUUCCCAGGCUAGGGGUCUAAUCAGAGCCAAAGCCGCUGGCCUAGGCCAAAUCCACAGCAACACGGAAUCCAAGCCACGACUGCGACCUACACCACAGCUCACAGCAACUCCAGAUCCUUAACCCGUUGAGCAAGGCCCGCAACCUGAUAGUUCCUAGUCAGAUUCACUAACCACUAAGCCACAACGGGAACUCCUAUGUUGAGUUCUUAAUCUUCUGAGCCACAAUGGGAACUCCCCCACUUGAUUUUUUGUUGCUUUUGCUUUUGAAGAUUUUAGCAUACACAUAAGUAAAAUGAAUGACAGGAACACCAUGAAGGAUAGGAGCAAGGAAUUGAGAAUAUUUGGUUAUAAAAUACUUGAACAAUAAGGUGAGGGAUAAUAUGAUUUGAAGGUAGACAUGUUAAUCAAAAAUUAUAAACUCUAGAGAAAUCAAUAAAAUACCUAUAAAACAUGUUUAUUUGAUGAUCAUGUAUACUGUAUAUUUCUAAGAGAAGAAAUAAAGUGAGACCAUAUAAUAUGCUCAAUUAUGAUGAGAGAAAUUAGAAAAAGAAGGCUCUGACAAGAAUUAAUUUAAAAACUACAGUUAAUAUUAACCCAAACACAUCAAUAUCCCUUUAAAUGGCUAUGUUCUAAAUACACCAACUUGAAGAUAAAGAUUUUCAGAGCAGAAAAAAAAACUGCUAUUUAAAAAACUAUUUCAGUAGUUCUCUGGUGGUGUAGCAGGUUAAGGAUAUGAUAUUGUCACUGCAGUGGCUCAGGCUGCUGCUGUGGCGCAGGUUCAAUCCCCAGCCCCAGAAUUUCAAAAUGCUGUGAGUUCAGCAAAAACAAAACAAAACAAAACAACAACAAAAAACUAAACAAAAAUGAUUAAGAAUGUAAACAUUCUAAUAGGAUAAAUUUGUAUAAAGGUGUAGUGAUUUAUCAUGCUAAGACCAAACAAAAGAAUGCUGGAAGAGCAAUACUAGUUUCAGACAAAAUAAACUCAGAACAAAUCAAAUUAACAAGGAUAAAGAGGACAUAACACAAUGAUAAAGGGGACAAUUCUCCAAGAAGGCAUAACAAUCCUAAAAGUGUAUACACCUAACAAUACAGCAUCAAAAUACAUGAGGCAAAAACUGAUAGAACUAAAAAGAGAAAUAGGCAAAUAAAUGCACUAUAUUAGUUGAAAAUUAAAAUGCUCUUCUUGUCAGUAAUUAAUGGGUCAAGUAGGCAGAAAAUCAAUAAAGAGAGAGUGGACCUGAAGGUCACUAUCAGUCAUCUUGAUGUAAUGGAUAAUUUUAGAAUAUUUACUUCAGUAACAGCUGAAUAUUCAUUCUUCCCAAGUUCACAGGGAACAUUCACUAAUAAAGCCCACAUUCAGGCCCAUAAAACAUACCUUAAUAGAAGGAAUAGAAAUCAUACAGAGUGUGUUCUCCAACCACAAUGGAAUUAGGAAAUCAAUAACAGGAAAUUGCCCNGCUGGAAAACCACCAAAUAUUUGGAAAUUAAAUGGUAAAUUUCUAAAUAACAAAUAACGCAUACAUCAAAUAAGAUGCCUCAAGAGCAAUUAAAACACCUUUGAAACUAAAUGAAAAUAAAAUAGAACAUCGAAAUUGUCAUAUUAUAAAAAUAGUACAGUGCCUAAAGGAAAAUGCAUAACAUUUAGUGUACACAACAUAAAAGAAAAAUCCAAAAUUGAUAAUCUAAGUUUCCAAUGUAAAAGAUUAGAAAAAGAUGAUCAAUUUAAAGCAAGCAGAGGAAUAAAAUAAUUAAUAAUUAAAAUUAGAGCACUUGGCAUGAAAUUGAAAACAAAACAAUAGCGAAAAUCAACAAAACUAAAAGGCAGUUCUUUGAAAAGAAUCACAAAAUUUACAAGCCUCUAGUCAGGCUAACAAAUAUAAAAAGAGAAAAGACAUAAAUUAUUAAUAUAAGAGCUGAAAGACGGUUAUCACUGCCAACUCCCUGAAUUUAAAUGAUAGUUUAAAAAAUAUAAACAGCUUCAUGUCCACAAAUUUUAUAAUUUAGACAAAAUAAAUCAAUUAUUUGAAAGACACAAAGUGUCAAGACUAAUACAAAGGUAAAUUAUUUGGAUAAUUCAUUAUCUAGGAAAGAAGUUAAAUCAUAGCCAAUAAGCUUCCAAACUAAUAACUCACCAGAUUCAAAUGAUUUUGCUGGUAAAUUCUAGAAAUAUUUAAGGGAGAAAAAUGGCACCAAGUCUCUAAAAUCUCUUCCAGAAAAAGAUGUAGAGAAAGCAUAUCUUGUGCUCUGAGAACAGCAUUACCCAACAUCCAAACAGAUAAAGAUACCAUAAGAAAGGAAAACUACAGACCAAUAUCUCUCAUGAAUAUAGACAAAAAAAAAAAAAAAAACCCUCAAAAAAUAUCAACAGAAUGAAUUCAAAAUGUAUAAAAAUGUCAUGCACCAUGACCAAGUGAGACCUAUUCCACAAGUGAAAGGCUGUCUCUACAUCGGAGAAUUAAUCAAUAUAAUCAAUGUAAAUAGAGAAUUUAUAUUAUCAUAUCAGUGGAGUCAUACAAGCAUUUAACAAAAUCAGAAGUUCAUUCAUAAUGAAAAUUGACAUCACACUAGGUAUCAAGGGGAAUUCUUGGCAAUUUGUUUUUCAGCUGCAUCCAUGGCAUGUGGAAGUUCCUGGACCAGGGAUCGAACCCACUCCAUAGCAGCAACCCAAGCCACUCCAGUGAUAAUGCUGGGUGCUUAACCCACUGCACCACAAGUCCUGGAAUUCCUCAAUUUGAUAAAGA